This 293-nucleotide ribosomal RNA is filed under the name uncultured Acidobacteriota bacterium. Its description in RNAcentral is "uncultured Acidobacteria bacterium partial 16S ribosomal RNA". Lineage: Bacteria; Pseudomonadati; Acidobacteriota. The record is from RNAcentral.
GGACUACUGGGGUAUCUAAUCCCGUUUGCUCCCCUAGCUUUCGCGCACUCAGCGUCAGUGUCGGUCCAGAAAGCCGCCUUCGCCACUGGUGUUCCUCCGGAUAUCUACGCAUUUCACCGCUACACCCGGAAUUCCGCUUUCCUCUCCCGAACUCAAGCCUCGCAGUAUCCCGUGCAGAUCCUCAGUUAAGCCGAGGGCUUUCACACGAGACUUACAAGGCCGCCUACGCGCCCUUUACGCCCAGUAAUUCCGAACAACGCUUGCCACCUCUGUAUUACCGCGGCGGCUGGCAC